This 398-nucleotide ribosomal RNA is filed under the name uncultured archaeon. Its description in RNAcentral is "bacterial SSU rRNA". It matches the Rfam family "Archaeal small subunit ribosomal RNA", at positions 452 to 850 of the family's 1478-position model. The record is from RNAcentral.
GCGGUGCCAGCCCCCGCGGUAAUACCGGCGCCUCAAGUGGUAGUCGCUUUUAUUGGGCCUAAAACGUCCGUAGCCGGUCUGGUGCAUUCGUGGGUAAAUCAACCCGCUCAACUGGUUGAAUUCUGCGAGCACGGCCAGACUUGGGACCGGGAGAGGUGUGGGGUACUCUCAGGGUAGGGGUAAAAUCCUGUCAUCCUGAGAGGACCACCUGUUGCGAAGGCGCCACACUAGAACGGAUCCGACGGUCAGGGACGAAACCUAGGGGCACGAACCGGAUUAGAUACCCGGGUAGUCCUAGGUGUAAACGCUGUGGACUUGAUGUUGGGGGCGCUCCGAGCGCUCUCAGUGUCGAAGCGAAGGUGAUAAGUCCACUGCCUGGGGGGUACGGUCGCAAGGCU